AGGACGAACGCUGGCGGCGUGCUUAACACAUGCAAGUCGAACGGGGUGUGCCGGGUAGUAAUACCUUGUACAUCUAGUGGCGAACGGGUGCGUAACACGUGAGUAACCUACCCCGAAGUCUGGAAUAACACCGGGAAACCGAUGCUAAUACCAGAUGCCCUCCUCUGAUCGCAUGAUCGGUUGAGGAAAGUUUUUCGCUUCGGGAGGGGCUCGCGGCCUAUCAGCUUGUUGGUGGGGUAACGGCCUACCAAGGCGACGACGGGUAGCUGGUCUGAGAGGACGAUCAGCCACACUGGGACUGAGACACGGCCCAGACUCCUACGGGAGGCAGC
RNAcentral lists this ribosomal RNA (332 nucleotides) under uncultured prokaryote. RNAcentral's name for it is "bacterial SSU rRNA". It matches the Rfam family "Bacterial small subunit ribosomal RNA", at positions 26 to 352 of the family's 1533-position model. The record is from RNAcentral.